GUGCCAGCAGCCGCGGUAAUACGGAGGGUGCAAGCGUUAAUCGGAAUUACUGGGCGUAAAGCGCACGCAGGCGGUUUGUUAAGUCAGAUGUGAAAUCCCCGGGCUCAACCUGGGAACUGCAUCUGAUACUGGCAAGCUUGAGUCUCGUAGAGGGGGGUAGAAUUCCAGGUGUAGCGGUGAAAUGCGUAGAGAUCUGGAGGAAUACCGGUGGCGAAGGCGGCCCCCUGGACGAAGACUGACGCUCAGGUGCGAAAGCGUGGGGA
This 263-nucleotide ribosomal RNA is filed under the name Xanthomonas citri pv. citri. RNAcentral's name for it is "partial 16S ribosomal RNA". It matches the Rfam family "Bacterial small subunit ribosomal RNA", at positions 505 to 767 of the family's 1533-position model. The record is from RNAcentral. Lineage: Bacteria; Pseudomonadati; Pseudomonadota; Gammaproteobacteria; Lysobacterales; Lysobacteraceae.